Molecule: long non-coding RNA, 1278 nt
Organism: Corticium candelabrum
Lineage: Eukaryota; Metazoa; Porifera; Homoscleromorpha; Homosclerophorida; Plakinidae
Exons: 3
Source: RefSeq, a predicted model, not a curated record
AACAGAUGCAUUACAAUAUUGUAACAGAGUCAGCAUAAUUUCAUUAUAUAGUGGACAGCUUGUAAGAUUGAACACAGUUUUGCUUAUUACUCUCUAACGUAGCAGCAACCUUAGGGUAUAUACUCAGUCACUGUUUGAAGCAAUGAUUACGAAUACAUAGUAUGUCAUUGUGUUUAUGCAUUCAAUUGUGUCACAUUGUGUAUCUAGCAAGCUUGCACUGCUACUUAGUAGACUAGUUAACAGGUUUGUCAAUGCAUGGUUGCAAGUCAAAGCAAUAUCUUGACUUCAACAGCUGUCCAUGCUAAAUUCGUACUCUUCCAACUAAUGGGUUACUGAUAGCUGACAGCCUGUAAACAACAACUAGUAUAGACGAUUUUCAGCAGCAAGUCUAAUAUAUUGAUAAUAGAUCAGUAUUGCAAUUGGGACUUUGUCGUGACGUUAUUGGAUGGGCGUGGUCUUAGGGAGGGGCUAGCGCUACACUUUCCUGAAAUCCUGGGGAGAACCCUGGUUGAAGGUAAAGUUUGAGUUUUGCUUUGUCACAUAGAAGGACAGCUGUGGUGAACAGAUGUGUGCCCACAGAUUCUCUGGAGAAAAUGCUGCAACUGCCACAAAAACAAAGGCAAUAACCCCACAAAGAGAAGAACAUGUUUGUAUUGGGAAAUUUUUGCAAUGCCUUGAUCAUGCGUGUUUUCCAUCUUUUCAAAUGUCGGCCUAUGCAUAGGAAUCAAAUCGUGAAUAUCCACUCUUUCACCUAAGGCAGUGCGUACAUAGUCCAGUGUUUGUAUUAGUUCUACCAACAAGUUGGUAGGAACUGGGUAUCCCAAUGGGUCACCAUAGAAGGAAGCUUUUGAAUUCGAAUCUAAAGCAACCACUGUCCAGUGAUUCCCACUCAUCAAUGUAUUUGAUGCAACAGAAGAUCCAAGCUAAUGCUAUGGAUGUGUUCAACGUGAAUUAGCAAACUUUGGAUAGCACAAGGCAAAGACAAUCUUGUGAUGAGCAAUUGAGAAGCGAUGCCAUACCUUCAAGCAGUGUAUCAGGAUGUGUGAAGAAUAUUGGAAGGUGGAUCGGGGAAUGACAUGUCAAAGUACUCUCUAGCAAGAUCUAGCGACUGCUGUGACAUUUCUUACCAGAUUUAUGACGUUUGUUUACCAGUUUACAAUGCUGUAUACGCAUAACUCAAUCUUAACCAGUUAUAGUCAUUACCAGUUGGAUAUAACAGUGUACGCUCUAGAUGUUGAAGAAAGACUCAAAGUAACAUGAUAAUGUUUUGUGCUUGUA